CAGUAGCCGCGGGAACACGUAGGGUCCGAGCGUUGUCCGGAAUUAUUGGGCGUAAAGGGCUCGUAGGCGGUUUGUUGCGUCGGGAGUGAAAACCCAGGGCUUAACUUUGGGCUUGCUUUCGAUACGGGCAGACUUGAGGCAUUGAGGGGAGAACGGAAUUCCUGGUGUAGCGGUGAAAUGCGCAGAUAUCAGGAGGAACACCGGUGGCGAAGGCGGUUCUCUGGCAAUGUUCUGACGCUGAGGAGCGAAAGUGUGGGGAGCGAACAGGAUUAGAUACCCGCGUAGUCCCUGUCUCUUAUAC
RNAcentral lists this ribosomal RNA (301 nucleotides) under uncultured bacterium. Its description in RNAcentral is "partial 16S ribosomal RNA". It matches the Rfam family "Bacterial small subunit ribosomal RNA", at positions 509 to 807 of the family's 1533-position model. The record is from RNAcentral.